GUCGACGGCAGCCAGAGGAGCUUGCUCCUUGUGGUGGCGAGUGGCGGACGGGUGAGGAAUACAUCGAGAAUCUACUUUUUCGUGGGGGAUAACGUAGGGAAACUUACGCUAAUACCGCAUACGACCUACGGGUGAAGGCAGGGGACCUUCGGACCUUGCGCGAUUGAAUGCGCCGAUGUCGGAUUAGCUAGUUGGCGGGGUAAAGGCCCACCAAGGCCACGAUCCGUAGCUGGUCUGAGAGGAUGAUCAGCCACACUGGAACUGAGACACGGUCCAGACUCCUACGGGAGGCAGCAGUGGGGAAUAUUGGACAAUGGGCGCAAGCCUGAUCCAGCCAUACCGCGUGGGUGAAGAAGGCCUUCGGGUUGUAAAGCCCUUUUGUUGGGAAAGAAAUCCAGCCGGCUAAUACCUGGUUGGGAUGACGGUACCCAAAGAAUAACCACCGGCUAACUUCGUGCCAGCAGCCGCGGUAAUACGAAGGGUGCAAGCGUUACUCUGAAUUACUGGGCGUAAAGCGUGCGUAGGUGGUUGUUUAAGUCUGUUGUGAAACCCCUGGGCUCAACCUGGGAACUGCAGUGGAAACUGGACAACUAGAGUGUGGUAGAGGGUAGCGGAAUUCCCUGUGUAGCAGUGAAAUGCGUAGAGAUCGGUAGGAACAUCCAUGGCGAAGGCAGCUACCUGGACCAACACUGACACUGAGGCACGAAAGCGUGGGGAGCAAACACGAUUAAAUACCCUGGUAGUCCACGCCCUAAACGAUGCGAACUGGAUGUUGGGUGCAAUUUGGCACGCACUAUCGAGCUAACGCGUUAAGUUCUCCGCCUGGGGAGUACGGUCGCGAGACUGAAACUCAAAGGAAUUGACGGGGGCCCACACAAGCC
RNAcentral lists this ribosomal RNA (881 nucleotides) under Stenotrophomonas sp. RNAcentral describes it as "bacterial SSU rRNA". It matches the Rfam family "Bacterial small subunit ribosomal RNA", at positions 61 to 931 of the family's 1533-position model. Lineage: Bacteria; Pseudomonadati; Pseudomonadota; Gammaproteobacteria; Lysobacterales; Lysobacteraceae. The record is from RNAcentral.